Molecule: long non-coding RNA, 1077 nt
Filed under: Oryctolagus cuniculus (rabbit)
Lineage: Eukaryota; Metazoa; Chordata; Mammalia; Lagomorpha; Leporidae
Description: lncRNA (ENSOCUG00000030772.1)
Source: RNAcentral
CUUCAGCGAGGUCGAUCAUGUCAUAGGGUUGAGUGGAAGCCUUCCUGGAGGAGGUGGUGACAGCUGACCUGUGCGGGAAGUGGGAGGCAGGAGACGGCAGGGAAAGCUGCUCCAGGCAGAGGUGAACACAGCCUGAGCAGGCUCAGGGGAGCUUAGCUCUGUGUGGUUGCCAUGGAGAGGGAGGGGUGGGUGGUUAGGGAGGCGGUCCAUGAUGGACAGGUUGGAGCGUCAGGUGAGGGAGGCUGGCUCCUAUCUGCCCUUGGGACAGGAUCUUCAGCUUUGUUAUAAAGGCUCCCGUCUGUACUACCCUCCCAGGGGCUGGAUGCGCUCCAAGCACUUUGCCUCUGUUAGCUCAUUUAACCAGCACACUGCUCAGAGGUGAGAGCUUUCGCCAGCCCAUUUUACAGAUGAGGAAACUGAAGCCUGGAGAGGCGUGAUCAGUUGUCUAAGGUCACCCAGCCAGUAAGGGGCACCCUAGUUAGUCAGCUCCAGGACUCCUGCUCCUAACCUGGGCUCUGCAUGGCCCUCCGGCAAGUCCCUUCCCCCGCAGCAGCUGGGCAGCCCGUGAACGCUAGAACAAGCCGUGGCUCUGUCAGGCCUGGGGACCCUGGCCGCAGGGAUUCAGGCCAAAGACCUGACAGCUUCUGGAAACGGGAGAGCAGGAGGGGAAGAGAGGGAAGAAAGGGACUCCGCCUCCCCAGAGACGCGGGGCGGGGAGCUCAACAGGAGGCAGCUGGAGAACCAGAGCCUUCCCAGGGGUGCUCGCAGCCACCCAGGAAGCGGCACCCUCAGCCGGCAGAGGGCUCGGAGCCCGCUCAGCCGAAUCCACUCCUGCUUCACUGCGCAAGCAAACUGCUGCUUCAGGAGUUAAGGAAGUCCUUGCUGUCCGGGACUUCCGGCAGCCAGCCCGGCGGGGACGGAGCGUGCUGGAGGAAGGCUCUGUGGCUGGCAGACUGCCUCUGUCUAGCUCUAGGGAGGAAACAGGCUUUAAGGGCCAAGAGGAAAAAUCCAUACGCUGGCACGGCAGGAAGCAAAGUUUCCACCAUUUUUGAACUGAUGAACUUAAAAAUAUACUAA